This 433-nucleotide unclassified non-coding RNA is filed under the name soil metagenome. RNAcentral describes it as "partial contains 5.8S ribosomal RNA, internal transcribed spacer 2, and large subunit ribosomal RNA". The stretch from base 1 to 120 matches the Rfam family "5.8S ribosomal RNA", at positions 35 to 154 of the family's 154-position model. The record is from RNAcentral.
GAUGAAGAACGUAGCGAAAUGCGAUACGUAAUGUGAAUUGCAGAAUUCAGUGAAUCAUCGAAUCUUUGAACGCAUAUUGCGCUCUCUGGUAUUCCGGAGAGCAUGCUUGUUUGAGUAUCAGUAAACACCUCAACUUCCAUAUCUUUUUUGAAAUGGGAGUUGGACUUGAGUGAUCCCAACGCUUUUCCUCACCGAAAAGUGGCGGGUUACUUGAAAUGCAGGUGCAGCUGGACUUCUCUCUGAGCUAUAAGCAUAUCUAUUUAGUCUGCCUAAAAAACAGAUUAUUACCUUUGCUGCAGCUAACAUAAAGGAGAUUAGUUCUUGUGCUGACUGAUGCAGGAUUCACAAAGACAGGCUUCGGCCGACUUUGUAAACUCGAUCUCAAAUCAAGUAAGACUACCCGCUGAACUUAAGCAUAUCAAUAAGCGGAGGA